Molecule: ribosomal RNA, 2717 nt
Filed under: Vibrio cholerae
Lineage: Bacteria; Pseudomonadati; Pseudomonadota; Gammaproteobacteria; Vibrionales; Vibrionaceae
Description: 23S ribosomal RNA
Rfam family: Bacterial large subunit ribosomal RNA
Source: RNAcentral
UUAAGUGACUAAGCGUACACGGUGGAUGCCUGGGCAGUCAGAGGCGAUGAAGGACGUACUAACUUGCGAUAAGCGCAGAUAAGGCAGUAAGAGCCGUUUGAGUCUGCGAUUUCCGAAUGGGGAAACCCAACUGCAUAAGCAGUUACUGUUAACUGAAUACAUAGGUUAACAGAGCAAACCGGGGGAACUGAAACAUCUAAGUACCCCGAGGAGAAGAAAUCAACCGAGAUUCCGGUAGUAGCGGCGAGCGAACCUGGAUUAGCCCUUAAGCACUCGGUGAAGUAGGUGAACAAGCUGGAAAGCUUGGCGAUACAGGGUGAUAGCCCCGUAACCGACGCUUCAUCGAGCGUGAAAUCGAGUAGGGCGGGACACGUGAUAUCCUGUCUGAAUAUGGGGGGACCAUCCUCCAAGGCUAAAUACUCCUGACUGACCGAUAGUGAACCAGUACCGUGAGGGAAAGGCGAAAAGAACCCCUGUGAGGGGAGUGAAAUAGAACCUGAAACCGUGUACGUACAAGCAGUAGGAGCACCUUCGUGGUGUGACUGCGUACCUUUUGUAUAAUGGGUCAGCGACUUAUAUUCAGUGGCAAGGUUAACCGUAUAGGGGAGCCGUAGCGAAAGCGAGUCUUAACUGGGCGCUCAGUCUCUGGAUAUAGACCCGAAACCGGGUGAUCUAGCCAUGGGCAGGUUGAAGGUUGAGUAACAUCAACUGGAGGACCGAACCGACUAAUGUUGAAAAAUUAGCGGAUGACUUGUGGCUAGGGGUGAAAGGCCAAUCAAACUCGGAGAUAGCUGGUUCUCCCCGAAAGCUAUUUAGGUAGCGCCUCGGACGAAUACUACUGGGGGUAGAGCACUGUUAAGGCUAGGGGGUCAUCCCGACUUACCAACCCUUUGCAAACUCCGAAUACCAGUAAGUACUAUCCGGGAGACACACGGCGGGUGCUAACGUCCGUCGUGGAGAGGGAAACAACCCAGACCGCCAGCUAAGGUCCCAAAGUAUUGCUAAGUGGGAAACGAUGUGGGAAGGCUCAGACAGCUAGGAUGUUGGCUUAGAAGCAGCCAUCAUUUAAAGAAAGCGUAAUAGCUCACUAGUCGAGUCGGCCUGCGCGGAAGAUGUAACGGGGCUAAGCAAUACACCGAAGCUGCGGCAAUAUCUUUUAGAUAUUGGGUAGGGGAGCGUUCUGUAAGCCGUUGAAGGUGAAUCGUAAGGUUUGCUGGAGGUAUCAGAAGUGCGAAUGCUGACAUGAGUAACGACAAAGGGGGUGAAAAACCUCCUCGCCGGAAGACCAAGGGUUCCUGUCCAACGUUAAUCGGGGCAGGGUGAGUCGACCCCUAAGGUGAGGCCGAAAGGCGUAAUCGAUGGGAAACGGGUUAAUAUUCCCGUACUUCUGACUAUUGCGAUGGGGGGACGGAGAAGGCUAGGUGGGCCAGGCGACGGUUGUCCUGGUUCAAGUGCGUAGGCUUGAGAGUUAGGUAAAUCCGGCUCUCUCUAAGGCUGAGACACGACGUCGAGCUGCUACGGCAGUGAAGUCAUUGAUGCCAUGCUUCCAGGAAAAGCCUCUAAGCUUCAGAUAGUCAGGAAUCGUACCCCAAACCGACACAGGUGGUCGGGUAGAGAAUACCAAGGCGCUUGAGAGAACUCGGGUGAAGGAACUAGGCAAAAUGGUACCGUAACUUCGGGAGAAGGUACGCUCUUGAUGGUGAAGUCCCUCGCGGAUGGAGCUGACGAGAGUCGCAGAUACCAGGUGGCUGCAACUGUUUAUUAAAAACACAGCACUGUGCAAAAUCGCAAGAUGACGUAUACGGUGUGACGCCUGCCCGGUGCCGGAAGGUUAAUUGAUGGGGUUAGCGCAAGCGAAGCUCUUGAUCGAAGCCCCGGUAAACGGCGGCCGUAACUAUAACGGUCCUAAGGUAGCGAAAUUCCUUGUCGGGUAAGUUCCGACCUGCACGAAUGGCGUAAUGAUGGCCACGCUGUCUCCACCCGAGACUCAGUGAAAUUGAAAUCGCUGUGAAGAUGCAGUGUACCCGCGGCUAGACGGAAAGACCCCGUGAACCUUUACUACAGCUUGGCACUGAACAUUGAACCUACAUGUGUAGGAUAGGUGGGAGGCUAUGAAGACGUGACGCCAGUUGCGUUGGAGCCGUCCUUGAAAUACCACCCUUGUAUGUUUGAUGUUCUAACUUAGACCCGUUAUCCGGGUUGAGGACAGUGCCUGGUGGGUAGUUUGACUGGGGCGGUCUCCUCCCAAAGAGUAACGGAGGAGCACGAAGGUGGGCUAAUCACGGUUGGACAUCGUGAGGUUAGUGCAAUGGCAUAAGCCCGCUUAACUGCGAGAAUGACGGUUCGAGCAGGUGCGAAAGCAGGUCAUAGUGAUCCGGUGGUUCUGUAUGGAAGGGCCAUCGCUCAACGGAUAAAAGGUACUCCGGGGAUAACAGGCUGAUACCGCCCAAGAGUUCAUAUCGACGGCGGUGUUUGGCACCUCGAUGUCGGCUCAUCACAUCCUGGGGCUGAAGUCGGUCCCAAGGGUAUGGCUGUUCGCCAUUUAAAGUGGUACGCGAGCUGGGUUUAGAACGUCGUGAGACAGUUCGGUCCCUAUCUGCCGUGGGCGUUGGAAGAUUGAAGGGGGCUGCUCCUAGUACGAGAGGACCGGAGUGGACGAACCUCUGGUGUUCGGGUUGUGUCGCCAGACGCAUUGCCCGGUAGCUAAGUUCGGAAUU